Molecule: ribosomal RNA, 386 nt
Filed under: uncultured bacterium
Lineage: Bacteria
Description: bacterial SSU rRNA
Rfam family: Bacterial small subunit ribosomal RNA
Source: RNAcentral
GACGAACGCUGGCGGCGUGCUUAACACAUGCAAGUCGAGCGGUAAGGCCCUUUCGGGGGUACACGAGCGGCGAACGGGUGAGUAACACGUGGGUGACCUGCCCUCAGCUCUGGGAUAAGCCUGGGAAACCGGGUCUAAUACUGGAUAUGACUCCAUGACGCAUGUUGUGGGGUGGAAAGCCUUGUGCGGCUGAGGAUGGGCCCGCGGCCUAUCAGCUUGUUGGUGGGGUGAUGGCCUACCAAGGCGACGACGGUAGCCGGCCUGAGAGGGCGACCGGCCACACUGGGACUGAGACACGGCCCAGACUCCUACGGGAGGCAGCAGUGGGGAAUCUUGCGCAAUGGGCGAAAGCCUGACGCAGCGACGCCGCGUGAGGGAUGACGGCC